GAUGAAGAACGUAGCGAAAUGCGAUAAGUAAUGUGAAUUGCAGAAUUCAGUGAAUCAUCGAAUCUUUGAACGCACAUUGCGCCCCUUGGUAUUCCAUGGGGCAUGCCUGUUCGAGCGUCAUCUACACCCUCAAGCUCUGCUUGGUGUUGGGCGUCUGUCCCGCCCCCGCGCGUGGACUCGCCCCAAAUCCAUUGGCAGCGUUCCUUGCCCCCUCUCGCGCAGCACAUUGCGCUUCUCGAGGGCGGCUCCGGGACGCGAUCCAGCAAGAUGACCACCGUCUUUGACCUCGGAUCAGGUAGGGAUACCCGCUGAACUUAAGCAUAUCAAUAAGCGGAGGA
Molecule: unclassified non-coding RNA, 338 nt
Filed under: soil metagenome
Description: partial contains 5.8S ribosomal RNA, internal transcribed spacer 2, and large subunit ribosomal RNA
Rfam family: 5.8S ribosomal RNA (bases 1-120)
Source: RNAcentral